Physella acuta is the source of this 1257-nucleotide long non-coding RNA. RefSeq lists it as uncharacterized. Lineage: Eukaryota; Metazoa; Mollusca; Gastropoda; Physidae. The record is from RefSeq and is a predicted model, not a curated record.
UUUUAUUUUUACAGGUAUUUUUAUCAUCCCAGUUAAAAAACUAAAAUUCCCUGUAAUAUAUAAGCAUAGAAAGACCGCAUAAACAGAAGAUUAUCACAGUAGUUUGUUCGAUUCUCGUAGUCAACUCGUUCUGUUAUAGGCCUAACAGUGCUUGGAUUAUUUAGCUGUUCUAGAACUUAUCAACAGCUACAAAGAUGUCACAUAAAUUAUCAAGCAUUUGUCGUGAAUGGUAUGCUCUUAAGGUGCCAGGACCAACGGAUACAAGAAUUAAUCUAACGAAUCUUACUGUUGUAGUGGAGAGAAUUCCAAAAUGGAUACCAUCAGAACCAACGGGUCAUUUGAAACAUUCAACACAAAGAUCGCUUUCAGUGGACUAUGGAUCAACCCAAUCAGUGUCAAGUGAGAUACAGGUUGAAAGAGAUGUGGUUGAAAUUGAGCAGGUCACCUGUACAACCUACUUAAAAUUAUAUUUCCUUAAAUUUAGAAUUAUGAAAUUACAAAUUGUACAAAAUGUGUUAAAAAUUAUAUGUGUACAUUUAACUCACUAAAAUAAUUUUAAUAGUAGUUUUUUAUAUUAAGAAUUAUAAUAAUGUACAUUUAAUUUGUCUAAUGUAAAAUAAUUAUGUUACAAAAGUUCCAGAACUCAUAGUUGAUCCAGUACUGACACUUCCUUUAAGAACAAGUACACAGACAAUUACUGUCAAUUUGAGUCGUCCAGAGAGCUCCAGCAUCAAACAGAAACCAGCACAAUGUGUACAAGUGAAGAAAACUUGUUAUGGAAAACAAAGAGCAACUGCAACAAUCAAAUCGCCAGAAUGGUUUUACACAGGUCGAUUCACUUGCUGCCUAAGAGUAUCUGGUAAAGUGAUAUUUGGAUCAGGUUAUGAACAACGUAUUGGAGAAAUUAUUCGUGAACUCCAGGAAUGGGUUGCUCAGGAAGAAAUUGAACUAGAGAAAAUGAGUGCUCUAUGGAUGACUCCCCGCCAAAAGAGUGAUCUCCAGGAAAAGAUAGCUCUCAAGGAAAAGAUCAACAGUAUGGUUAACAUGUUUACCUUGAAUAAAAACGUUUAUUAUAAAAAUGAUCGUAUACGUUAUAGAUUAGACGCGCUCUGGACAAUUGAAGGCGAGGUGGAGAAACGAUGGAAAGCUGAGCACACAGUAUCAUGGAGUUAAAUUGCUCAAAAUAUCGUUUGUUAGGUUAUUUUUUGUAUUUUUUUCUUUCCAACACUUUACGACAGGGGACAAUUAAUUUUCAUU